RNAcentral lists this ribosomal RNA (370 nucleotides) under uncultured bacterium. RNAcentral describes it as "bacterial SSU rRNA". It matches the Rfam family "Bacterial small subunit ribosomal RNA", at positions 527 to 896 of the family's 1533-position model. The record is from RNAcentral.
GGAGGGUGCAAGCGUUAAUCGGAAUUACUGGGCGUAAAGCGCACGCAGGCGGUUUGUUAAGUCAGAUGUGAAAUCCCCGAGCUUAACUUGGGAACUGCAUUUGAAACUGGCAAGCUAGAGUCUUGUAGAGGGGGGUAGAAUUCCAGGUGUAGCGGUGAAAUGCGUAGAGAUCUGGAGGAAUACCGGUGGCGAAGGCGGCCCCCUGGACAAAGACUGACGCUCAGGUGCGAAAGCGUGGGGAGCAAACAGGAUUAGAUACCCUGGUAGUCCACGCUGUAAACGAUGUCGACUUGGAGGUUGUGCCCUUGAGGCGUGGCUUCCGGAGCUAACGCGUUAAGUCGACCGCCUGGGGAGUACGGCCGCAAGGUUA